CAGCAGUAGGGAAUUUUCCGCAAUGGGCGCAAGCCUGACGGAGCAACGCCGCGUGAGUGAGGACGGCUUUCGGGUUGUAAAACUCUGUUCUUCGGGAAGAACGGUGGUCGGGUGAAUAGCCCGAUUGCGUGACGGUACCGAAGGAGAAAGCCCCGGCUAACUACGUGCCAGCAGCCGCGGUAAUACGUAGGGGGCAAGCGUUGUCCGGAAUUAUUGGGCGUAAAGCGCGCGCAGGCGGCCUGUUCAGUCGGAUGUGAAAGACCACGGCUCAACCGUGGGGUGGCAUCCGAAACUGGCGGGCUUGAGUACAGGAGAGGAGAGUGGAAUUCCCGGUGUAGCGGUGGAAUGCGUAGAGAUCGGGAGGAACACCAGUGGCGAAGGCGGCUCUCUGGCCUGUAACUGACGCUGAGGCGCGAAAGCGUGGGUAGCGAACAGGAUUAGA
RNAcentral lists this ribosomal RNA (442 nucleotides) under uncultured Kroppenstedtia sp. Its description in RNAcentral is "bacterial SSU rRNA". It matches the Rfam family "Bacterial small subunit ribosomal RNA", at positions 349 to 782 of the family's 1533-position model. The record is from RNAcentral. Lineage: Bacteria; Bacillati; Bacillota; Bacilli; Caryophanales; Thermoactinomycetaceae.